UACGAAGGGGGCUAGCGUUGCUCGGAAUCACUGGGCGUAAAGGGUGCGUAGGCGGCUAUUUAAGUCAGAUGUGAAAUCCUGGAGCUCAACUCCAGAACUGCCUUUGAUACUGAGUAUCUUGAGUACGGGAGAGGUGAGUGGAACUGCGAGUGUAGAGGUGAAAUUCGUAGAUAUUCGCAAGAACACCAGUGGCGAAGGCGGCUCACUGGCCCGUUACUGACGCUGAGGCACGAAAGCGUGGGGAGCAAACAGG
This 253-nucleotide ribosomal RNA is filed under the name uncultured bacterium. RNAcentral's name for it is "partial 16S ribosomal RNA". It matches the Rfam family "Bacterial small subunit ribosomal RNA", at positions 524 to 776 of the family's 1533-position model. The record is from RNAcentral.